This 497-nucleotide ribosomal RNA is filed under the name uncultured bacterium. RNAcentral's name for it is "partial 16S ribosomal RNA". It matches the Rfam family "Bacterial small subunit ribosomal RNA", at positions 28 to 507 of the family's 1533-position model. The record is from RNAcentral.
GAUGAACGCUGGCGGCGUGCCUAAUACAUGCAAGUCGAGCGAACGGACGAGAAGCUUGCUUCUCUGAUGUUAGCGGCGGACGGGGGAGUAACACGUGGAUAACCUACCUAUAAGACUGGGAUAACUUCGGGAAACCGGAGCUAAUACCGGAAAAUAUUUUGAACCGCAGGGUUCAAAAGUGAAAGACGGUCUUGCUGUCACUUAUAGAUGAAUCCGCGCUGCAUUAGCUAGUUGGUAAGGUAACGGCUUACCAAGGCAACGAUGCAUAGCCGACCUGAGAGGGUGAUCGGCCACACUGGAACUGAGACACGGUCCAGACUCCUACGGGAGGCAGCAGUAGGGAAUCUUCCGCAAAGGGCGAAAGCCUGACGGAGCAACGCCGCGUGAGUGAUGAAGGUCUUCGGAUCGUAAAACUCUGUUAUUAGGGAAGAACAUAUGUGUAAGUAACUGUGCACAUCUUGACGGUACCUAAUCAGAAAGCCACGGCUAACUACGUG